This 799-nucleotide long non-coding RNA is filed under the name Neogale vison (American mink). Its description in RNAcentral is "Neovison vison (American mink) lncRNA (ENSNVIG00000023215.1)". The record is from RNAcentral. Lineage: Eukaryota; Metazoa; Chordata; Mammalia; Carnivora; Mustelidae.
CUCCCCGCUCCCUCCGGGCUCCGGAUCCCUCCGGCCGCGGCUGCCCCGCCACCGCUGCGCUCCCGCCUUGUGGUCCCGCCGCCCCUCCCCAUCUCACUGGCGGCGGCGGCUGGAACAGGCCCGCCCGCAGCCUCCGACGGGCCCAGUCCUUCCAGGGCUGGAGGGAGUUCAGCUGAAGCGAGGAAAAUCAAGCCUGAAGAUCGUCCCAACCAAUCUGCAGCUUUGAAGACCAGUUCAGUCCAGAUGCCAGAAGGAAGGCAGUUUCCAGAUGUCUAAGGAAAUCUCACCCAGUCUACAGUUGACUACUGCAUUCACAGACCAGACACUUCUGUGGCCUCCAUGACAAGGGAUACAAAUUUGACAAAAUCAGUUUAGAAAUGUUACUAAGCCAACAGAAGAACUUCAGUGAGAGGAGCAGCAGCAGUGAACCCUGGGGAGGGGAAGAACUGGUAUUUGACUUGCUACAUUACACUAAUCACAGUGUCCCUGAUCCAAAAACAGAGAGAUAAGUGGUGGUGACACAGGAAAGGAAUGUAAUUCAGAGCAGCUGACACUAGAAGACUGAGGACUGGCAUGGCUUCAAGGUGUUGAAAACAUUCCUGGGUUUUUAUACGAGGAAAAUCUAGGACAAAGGUCGGUGGGCAGGUGCAGGGGGUCAGUAAAGUUCCAGUCAAUCAUUGUCUUGGGGUCCAUCACGCGGGGUCUUGCUGGUGUCAGGCAGUGGUUAUUGCUUGAGGGGUCGUUUUGGUGCCUGCUGGAUCUUUGACUUGAGUUACCAGAUGAGCCUGAAGGAGGGACA